Marmota monax (woodchuck) is the source of this 3522-nucleotide long non-coding RNA. RefSeq lists it as uncharacterized. Lineage: Eukaryota; Metazoa; Chordata; Mammalia; Rodentia; Sciuridae. The transcript has 2 exons. The record is from RefSeq and is a predicted model, not a curated record.
UUCAUGAUUUUCACCAUUACCGUUUCUGUUUGGUUUGGGGGACGAGUAUCGGAUUUGAUUUAUUGGAUGCCCAGAGUCAGUCCCUGGCUUAGGACUUUGGUAAUCACUUUGACGAGCCUUGCCAGGAGAAAGCAUGCAUUAGCCACUUGCAGUUUGCUUCUCCAGAACGAAGAGGGCAGACAAAGAGGGACCUGUGUAACUGCCAAAAUUACAUUCAUUUGGGGAGUCUCUCCCUUUCUUUCCGCUUCAGGAUGGCAUCAGUUCCUUUAUACCAUCAUUUGUUGAAACAGAAAUUGAACUUUUUGGACUCUAGAGGCCCCAAAGUCUGAACCCUGGUAGGUUCUACCCCGCAGUGCAAGUUGGGCCUUGCCCUUCUUCCUUUUCGUUCUUGUUUGGGGGCUAUUUUGAGCAAUUUGAAUUCUUUUGAAUGGAGCUAUUUGUCUGAAAGAAUAUAAACUGAAGACAAGAAAAGAGUAAGCUAGAAAAAGAAAGAAAUACAAGAAGUUAUAGGUAUGGGGAUUUAUUUUGGUAAGAAAAAUUAAAAGGAAAUGUUUCUGCAUGACAAAGUAUCUUGUAUAGGUAAGUAAUAUUUUUGCCCUAAAUUUCAAGAUGGGAAAAAGUGAGACGGGACAAAAUUAAGGAUAUAAACAAGUUGUGGAGAGUCUAAGUAAGUUGCAUAAGGUUUGCAGAAGAUAAAUCUUAGGAAAAUUUUAUGUUUAAUUUAGUUGUCUAUAAUUAAACCAGUUAAAAUCAUAUAUGGGUUUUUCUAAAGUCAAAAUUUAAUGUACUGAUAUAAAAUCAGAAUCUAAUUCUUUUAUGUUUAAAACAAUAAGAGUUUAUUAAAACAUUGAUUUGAUCUUAUUUGUCAAGGUGAUUUCUUGUGUCUGUUAGGUUUUUAUCACUUAGGGAAACUAAGUCUUACAAGAAUUAGGGUUCACUUAAGUACCUAUUUUAAAGUCUUUUAAAUGAUUGCUUUAUAACUCUGAUUAAAUAUACAACUGCUAUGUUAGGUUAUUAUAGUACAUUUGACACCCUAAAUAUAUGCAACUGGAAAUACAUAUAUAUCUGAGGGCUAAAUACAUUUGUCAAAGCUUUGCCUAAACAUUAUGUAAAAGUUUGUGGAAUUAGAGCUAUACAGAUUUAAUAUAGGCAAGUUAACCAAUAAGUGCUCUAUUCAAUACAAUAUACAUUGUAUUUGUACAUUAAACAUAUAAAAUGAACGAUUAAACUUUUGGCAUUUUCACCAUUUGUGUAUAUUAGUGAGUCACUGUCUUAAAAUAAAAAGGACUGGGGUUUAGUUCAGUGAUAAAGUUCCCCUGGGUUCAAUACUCAGUUGAAUACACAUAUUUUAUACACACACACACACACACACACACAAUAUAUAUAUAUAUACACACACACAUACAUACAUACACAUAUGGUACACUUGUACAUCAGGUAAUAAUCUAUUUGUGGUCAUUAGCAUGGUAUUCUAAACCUAUAAGAGGCCUAAAAUUAUCCUUUGAUUUUGUUUGUCGUUAAUCUAGAUAUACCUGUAACUAUAGUUAUCCUAUGGAACCAGGGAUUCCAAAUUUUGCUUCAAAAGUUAAAAUUAAUAUGAAGUUAAUAUGAAGACAUCUAUGUAACUGGGAUGGUAAUCAUUAUUGACUUCUUUGUAUGUGAAAUUUAUUUAUGUUCCCCAAUAGUACAAGCCUUCUAAAAUGUAAAGCUUAGGAGAGCCCUUUACUAUCCAUGGUCUCCAAACUAAAAUCUGUUAGUAGGACAGCCUUUUUUUUUUGCUUAUAUAAAAAUAGAAAGCUUAGACUUAUUUAUGUCAUUUAAUGUUCUUUAACUGGGUAAAAAUGUAAUCAGUAAUUGAUAUAUGGAGAAAUACCUGGGGUAGGAAUUUAAAUGUAUUUUUUAAUGAUAAUAAGGAGGGCCUGAUUUUUUUAAAGACUAGCAAUGUGGAAUAUGGAAAUGUUUUGCUGCUUUUUCUACAAAGGAAGGAAAUUAAAGAGGACUGACUCUUAGCCUUUCUGUUUGAUUCAUGUUUCAGAUGUAAUACUAUUAUGUUAACUUAUAUUCAGAUAGAAAAAUAUAGGAGAAUUUGUUUUCUUUUAUUCCUAAAAACAAUGAUAUUUAGAAAGGGGCAAAGAUUAGCUUCAAAUGUAAAACACUUUAAGAUUCCAAAAGGCCACCCUCACCUGAGGUAAGGCUUUGCCUCUUGCCCUAUUCAAUGUUAGGAUGGCCCCAAAGUAGGCUAAAAUUAAACUCAUUUAAAGUUCUGUUAAAAGGAUAAAUUUGUGUUGUAAAGAUUACUAUCAUCCCAAAAUAGAAAGAAAUAUAUUGCAAAACUACAUAAGGGUUUGGGUAAAUUAUAAAAGGUAUUUAAACAUUGUAACAGGUUUCAAAACAGAAACAGAAUUUGUAAAAGAUUUGUAUGUGAUUGAGUUGACUAUGGUUGUUUUUUUUUUUUGCAGAAGCUAAAAAGAUAUCAAAGAUACACUAGUGUUAUUAAAAAUGUUUCUUGAUUCAGAGCUCUUAUACAAACUGAAUGUUUUUCCUCUUGUAUUUUCCUUGUAAAAUUUUACAACUGUUGUCUGUUGAUGUUUUACAGAAAUACAAUUCCUAACAGAAUAAGCUGACUUUGUUUGAGAUAAGAAGUCAUCACCUUCAAGACAGACAAGAUGUGAUGCUGACUCCAGUACUAAUACUGACCCCAAUUAGAUGGAAGGUAUAACUGUAAAAAUCAAAACUCAUUACUCCCUCUUCAAGACUGGUGGAAAUGGGCUUCUGGGAUUUUCAAAACCAAUAUUUGGUGCCCAAAGACAAACAAAUAAAAGAGCUAUGGAACAAAACCAGCCAAUAUGUUGGCCCUUACCCUCCAAGGUCAGCCAGGACCUAGUUAAUGAUGGGAUCCCUUUAAGGGCCCUGUAUCUCAGAUGAGUCACUCUGAUAGGGGAAAGACUUAGGUGAGUGAUGAGAACAUGAGAUUAAGGGAAUAGUUCCAGAAACUGGGCCCACUGUGCAGACCCAGCAUGCAUUCUUUUCUAAGAAGCAAUUUACCUGCAACCCUGCCUGGCUUACAUGGACAGGAUAUUGUUACAUUCCUCAGAAAACUACCUGUUAUCUGCAGGAGAAAAGCAGAUCUGAAAUAAUGUCCAUAGAAAUACAAGUUACCCUAAAAUAUGUAUGUGGGACUUUUGUGACCCUUACACAGAGCAAAUCCCAGGUAAAAAUAAUUCUCCAUAACCAUAACAUCUGAGAGAACAGGUUUUAAUUAGAACUGGUCAGCAUGAGCCAUAGUGACCUAGAGUGGUCAUUCAUGACAGCUGAGACUGAAAGUCUGAUGUCAUCCUGCUGUCAGUCAGAAGUUAGUAUGUAGAACUGGACAGGACUCUCUGGAAACUCCACUGAACCCCCCCCCCCAAAAAAAAAAGUGCAGGAAAGGUACAUGGUCCCACUCCUCUCUGAGAGAACACACUCUCUCCCUUGAGAGUGUCCCCCCUUUCCUUUUUAAUAAACAUAUGCCUAUUUCUCUGA